GCCGUACCUAGCUCAAAAAAAAAAACAAAAUACAACUAGCACUGCCUAAUAAAACAAAACAUUUAAACAGACAUAAAAGUAUAGGAGAUAGAAAUUACAAUAGAAGCUAUAGAGAAAGUACCGCAAGGGAACCAUGAAAGAACUGAACCAAAGCAAUAAACAGCAAAGCUUACCCCUUCUACCUUUUGCAUAAUGAAUUAACUAGACUGCCCUAGCAAAGAGAACUCAAGUUAGCCCCCCCGAAACCAGACGAGCUAUUUACGAACAACUUUACAGAGUAAACUCAUCUAUGUGGCAAAAUAGUGAGAAGAUUCGCAAAUAGAGGUGACAAGCCAAUCGAGCCUGGUGAUAGCUGGUUAUCCAGGAAAAGAAUAUUAGUUCAAAUUUAAAUUUACCUAAAAACCUAGUAAUUAUAAUGUAAAUUUAAAUUAUAGUCUAAAGAGGUACAGCUCUUUAGACAAAGACUACAAUCUUAACUAGAGAGUAAGCAUACAAACUAUCAAAGUUGGCCUAAAAGCAGCCACCAAUUAAGAAAGCGUUCAAGCUCAACAUAACACACUACAUCAAUACCAUAAUUACUAAGCCAACUCCUAAAACAUAACUGGAUUAUUCUAUUAUUACAUAGAAGAAACACUGUUAAUAUGAGUAACAAGAAAAUUUUCUCCAAGCACAUGUGUAUAACAGACCGAAUACUCACUGAUAAUUAACAAAAAGCAAACCCAACCAAACAACAGGACACUUGCCCAACAACUUGUUAGCCCAACACAGGAGUGCACCAUGGAAAGAUUAAAAAGAGUAAAAGGAACUAGGCAAACACGAAUUCCGCCUGUUUACCAAAAACAUCACCUCUAGCAUGCCCAGUAUUAGAGGCACUGCCUGCCCAGUGACAAUAGUUAAACGGCCGCGGUAUCCUGACCGUGCAAAGGUAGCAUAAUCACUUGUUCUUUAAAUAAGGACUUGAAUGAAGGGCCACACGAGAAUUCUACUGUCUCUUACUCUAAAUCAGUGAAAUUGACCUUCCCGUGAAGAGGCGGGAAUGACUAAAUAAGACGAGAAGACCCUAUGGAGCUUUAAUUGCAUGCUCUAUCAGACACUAAAAAUACCCAAAAGGUAUAAAACGCUCUUACUAGCGCAGCAAUUUAGGUUGGGGUGACCUCGGAGUAUAACUCAACCUCCGAGUGAUUUAAAACCUAGACAAACAAGUCAAAGAAACAAAAAUCACUUAUUGAUCCAAAUCAAAUUUGAUCAACGAAAUAAGUUACCCUAGGGAUAACAGCGCAAUCCUAUUUAAGAGCCCCUAUCGACAAUAGGGUUUACGACCUCGAUGUUGGAUCAGGACAUCCUAAUGGUGCAGCAGCUAUUAAUGGUUCGUUUGUUCAACGAUUAAAGUCCUACGUGAUCUGAGUUCAGACCGGAGUAAUCCAGGUCGGUUUCUAUCUAUUUUUUGUCCCUCCCAGUACGAAAGGAUAAGAGAGACGGGGCCAACUUCCCAAAAGCGCCCUCAAGACUAACAGAUGAUACAGUAUGAAUCUGGAGCAUAAAAACUAACCCACCCUAGACCAGGGUUU
This 1568-nucleotide ribosomal RNA is filed under the name Furipterus horrens. Its description in RNAcentral is "16S ribosomal RNA". It matches the Rfam family "Bacterial large subunit ribosomal RNA", at positions 396 to 2925 of the family's 2925-position model. Lineage: Eukaryota; Metazoa; Chordata; Mammalia; Chiroptera; Furipteridae. The record is from RNAcentral.